Long non-coding RNA from Oncorhynchus tshawytscha (Chinook salmon), 682 nucleotides. RefSeq lists it as uncharacterized. NCBI's taxonomy places the organism in Eukaryota, Metazoa, Chordata, Actinopteri, Salmoniformes, Salmonidae. The transcript has 3 exons. The record is from RefSeq and is a predicted model, not a curated record.
UCCAAAGGGAACUAUUUGUUUUUCAAAAUUGCAUCAGCAUGUCUUAUGUUGUUGUUGUUAACGUGCCUUGAGAUUGUAAUGAAACAACAAAAGUUGAAUAAACAAUGAUUAUCUCCUCAGUACUGCAGAGGCCUCCCAGGUCUAUCACUCUAUCGCUCCUCUCUACCACUGGACAAAAUUCUAAGCCGGCCAUGCCCCCUAGGUAGACCGGGCUCUCUGCAGCCAGCCGGAGGUCCGGCCGCUGGGACAGGUGGAAGAUCUUAGGAGGGGGGAACGUGUCCCAAUCCCCCUCCUCUCUCUCCAGCCAGCACUCACUACGCCGAGAAGACCGCGUGUCUCUACGCCUGGAGAGAGCAUGGAGCAGGCAUUUGCUGCCAAGUUGCUGAAAUACCAGACCCCUGUGUCACGCCUGAACAGCCUUGGUUAUCAGUGAAAACUUGUAGUGCUGAUAUUUGGGGGUCUCGGCCAGGUUGACAGUACAUGCGUUCAGAUUGCAGGCCUGCAUCGCACAAAGGCAAAGCAUCUGGCGAGGUCCUGCUCUGUGCCAGCGGUCAUGGGCAGCCUUGCUGUAUGGAUAAGAAGACUGCUAUCUAAUUUGUGGAUUAAAAUAAAGCAUUUCAAAUGUGUGUGUGCACUUGCCUGCGUCUGUGAAUGCGUGUGGGUCUGCGCAGUGUACCUGAUC